Brassica oleracea var. oleracea is the source of this 181-nucleotide long non-coding RNA. RefSeq lists it as uncharacterized. The transcript is spliced from 2 exons. The record is from RefSeq and is a predicted model, not a curated record. NCBI's taxonomy places the organism in Eukaryota, Viridiplantae, Streptophyta, Magnoliopsida, Brassicales, Brassicaceae.
UUAGAUUUCAAGUUCAGGGUUCUCCACUUGAUCCUCAUCGAUCAUUAGACUAUCGAAUUCAUCAUCUCCGAACCUGAACGUUUCCGUCGUCACCAAUCAGAAACACUCCCACCUUCUUCUCUGAUCAUAAUAAUCUUAGGAAAACAUGGUGGAGAUCUAUUCUAUCUGUGGAAAAUGGAUA